AGUCCGGAUUGGAGUCUGCAACUCGACUCCAUGAAGUCGGAAUCGCUAGUAAUCGCAGAUCAGCAUUGCUGCGGUGAAUACGUUCCCGGGCCUUGUACACACCGCCCGUCACACCAUGGGAGUUUGUUGCACCAGAAGCAGGUAGCUUAACCUUCGGGAGGGCGCUUGCCACGGUGUGGCCGAUGACUGGGGUGAAGUCGUAACAAGGUAGCCGUAUCGGAAGGUGCGGCUG
This 232-nucleotide ribosomal RNA is filed under the name Mesorhizobium sp. RNAcentral describes it as "partial 16S ribosomal RNA". It matches the Rfam family "Bacterial small subunit ribosomal RNA", at positions 1290 to 1520 of the family's 1533-position model. Lineage: Bacteria; Pseudomonadati; Pseudomonadota; Alphaproteobacteria; Hyphomicrobiales; Phyllobacteriaceae. The record is from RNAcentral.